This 6264-nucleotide unclassified non-coding RNA is filed under the name Megachile rotundata (alfalfa leafcutting bee). RNAcentral's name for it is "uncharacterized LOC100875584, transcript variant X3". The record is from RNAcentral. Lineage: Eukaryota; Metazoa; Arthropoda; Insecta; Hymenoptera; Megachilidae.
ACGUACGCUUGUUCUUAAGCAGUAAUCGAGCCGACAUUUACCUUACACUCGAUACUGGUUUGCUCCUGAUUCUAACCGUCGAUCUCGAUACAAUGCCCUCGAUCUUGAGCGAUCCAGCGAGCAGUCCACGGACGCUGGCAAUAAGUUUGAUUGGGCUAACAAAUUGUCACGCUUGUCUCGAAGAGGAAGAGGCGACGUGUUCAGGCCACUUCUUCGUAAUGGGCAAUUGUGGGCUGGCGCACUGGAAUCGUCCGGGUGCUGUGUCCUAAGUAAAUAAUAAAAUCGUUUCAUUCGCCUUCCACGAGUCUCGGACAACGCUAGACUUUUGUCUCGUCGCGUUUCGACCGCUGCAAUCGCCUCUUUCGUAAAGUUCGCUUUCUCCUCGUUCGAUACGCGAUUCCGCUCGAGAUAGUGAUCUUAGAUUUUCCAAUCGCGGAACGUGCUGCUUUAUCCUGCUUCGGCGUUUCGUGAAUUAUUCGACGAUUCGGUUCACCAGGGACUAUCGUUUACCGAAAAUGUAUCGGGAUAAGGAUCUAAACGGAGACGAUGCUUUUUCGAGUAACGAACGUUAUCGAUUUUAAUUUUGGAAGAACUACCUCUGCUAACACCUACAACAGAUACAGUGAAUUUAGGUUUUCGUGAAUAAUUCAACGAUUCGAUGGUUUAAGAGUUCCCUCGGAAUAGCUUCGAAAGAAGAAAAUCGAUUAAAAUUGGAAAAUUGAUUCUCUGCAAGUGGAAGGUGGUAAUCCUUUAAAGCGUCGUUUGGCAUUGUCAGUUUCAAUUUCGCUCCAUUGUGUUUAAAAUGGGCAAAUCAUCUUCUAAGAUUUCCUUCUUUCAUCGCGUUAUUAACCGACGAAAAGUUUCAUAAACCUUGAAAGCUUCGUUCGAUGCACAAUACCGGUACCGUUAAACAUUAUCGCAUUCCGUAAGAAUGAAAUUUAUAACGUUUUUGUUCCUACUCGUACACUAAAAACUAUAACGGUAGGUUCGAUUAGAACAGUAGAUUUUUCGGAGCAUCCUAAAUACUCCAACCAUUACUCGUACGAAAAUUUUCUUCUUAUCAAGUAAUACGGCUCCAAAUGGCGGGUUUGCCAGUAUUUUACGAUAGAUCCAGCCUUCUGUGAAUAAUUCAACGAUUCGAUGGCUCAAGGACUGCUAUUUGCUCGAAGUGGUAUUAGGAAAAGGAGAAUUACGGGCCUAUGGAAGGUGGUAAUACCUCGAAACGUAAUCUGUGUUAUCGGUGUGCAGUGAUCUCGUUCUUGAUAUUCGUGUCGUUUAUCAUCUUCUUGCAUUAGCGUGCAUAGUUGCUCCUGUCGUCGUUGUUAACAACGGUCUCGAAACGAAGAAAGCUACUAACCUUGUUGAGAAUUCGAGUAUAUCGGCACGUGAUGUCGUUAAUUAUCGGAAAGGUGUUCAUCGUGUUUUCCGACGAAACUAGCCGAGAUUAAUUCGGUCCAUUGUCAUUGUCCCGCGAAAACAAUCGAUUCGUCGUUUUGCAGCUUGAUCGAACCAAAGAAGCGCCCGAAGGAUCCCGGGAGACACGCGUACAAAAUCGUCUCUUGCCAAAGAUAUCUAUUCUACGUACCUGUAUGUAACAUUAAAAAGUUUACGUUUCGAAUAUUCUUCGACAUUUUUUUAUUGGAUCAAAGGAUAAUUAGAAAACUUAUGAACAAUUAUAAAUAAAGUUUAGAAGCGUAUUAAAACUCUUAACUUAUGAAUAAGAUGGUAUCGAACGUUUCGAGCAAUCUGAAAGGAUACUUGGAGCGCAAUUUACGAGGAUAAAGCUUAUAAAAAUAUAACGAAGCAUUCGCUGUGAAGAUUGGUCUUCUCCAGAUGAAAUUUCGCAAAUCGUCCAUAUCCAGUCCAAAGAUGGAAUUGCUCUCGAGGCGGUCGUCAAACGACGGCAGGAUGUCGACCCUGAAGAGGUCGAGGUCCUUUCGAGCGUCGAUGAAGCUGAUGUCGAAGCUGAAGAGUCACGCGAAUCUGCGUUUAAAUCGGAACGCGGGUUUCGAUCUGUCUCCGGUGGCUGUGCGUGAUCAGCGCUCGAAAAAACGCCGAAACAAGUUAUCCUCGUUUGAAGAAUCCUCGUCGAGUCCUGUGGCUGACACGGAAUCCAACGUUAUAGAGAAUCCUGCGAGAAGCGACGAGAAGAUACUCGACGAUCUCGAGAAGGACUCGGUGUCGUUGAACGAGCUCGAAUCUCGCAGAAUCAGCAAAGAGUUGAAGAAUAAGUUAUGCCUGACGGACAGGAUAAUGAGGAGAAAUCGCAAGGACACCGAGAAAGCUCCGAAGAAAUCCGCUGGACCAUUGUCGCCCAAAGUAACACAUAUUUUUCGAUGGAAAAGCAACGAGGAAAGUCCAACCACGGAGAAAAAGGAUGUCCACGUGUCCUACGAAAAUCCUACCUUCUGCUUGGACAGCUCUCUGGACUCGUCCGUCUCGAGUUUCUUGUUCGAUCCGGAGAAUUCUAGUCGCAUCGCGAGCGAAAUCGAAUGCAACGACGAGAUGUCCUCGGAAAGGUCCCACCAGGAUCCUGUAUUGACUCUGCUAGUGGACUCUCGACGUCCUUACGCGAACGAGACGGUGUUCGAGGGAGCGGCAAAUUUCCAGUGCAAUAAAAACAAUCGUCCUUCGUUUCGUAGUCCCAAAGCUAGGAGUUUGUCGGUGAACGACGUUGUCCUGCAAGAGGACGAGGAGAUUGCCAAGAGUCUGGAUUUAAACGAGUACAGGACGAAUUUCUGUUGCCAGUCUCAUCGAGACGACGAUUUAUCCUCGAAGGAACGCAAAGCGUCGGAGAAAAUGAGGAAAACUUCCGUCUGUUCUUCCAAGUCCUGCAGGAUCAGGACCGUGGAUAAUAUAGCGAACUUUUGGACGAACGGCCGUGGCAGCAGCUUCCGUAAUAAGGUCUCGGUGGGGAGAAAGAAGUCGAUCAAAGAUUCGAGGGACCACGAGUCCAUUGGACAAGAUAGACAACUCGUUACGACCACUUCUGGAUCAAAGCUGUACUCUUUACAAGGGAUGGAGUUCCUGGAGGGUUUCGGGAAGAAAAAGCAGCAACCCCAUCAACAAUCGAACAGUAUAUCGUCGGUGCACAUCAAUCCCCUAUCGGCACAGUCUCUCAACAUACAUCUGCAUGCGCUAUUCGCAGCCGUGGAACAUGGUCAUCUCGACAAAGCCAGAACAAUUUUGGAAUCGACGGACGUGGAUGUGAACAGCGUGAACAGCGACGGUCUAUCACCCCUGGAUGUGGCGGUGCUAAGCAACAACAGGCCACUUGCAAAAAUGCUGGUCGCGUUUGGUGCACAGGAGGGUAAUCAAUUCAAGUCUCCGGAGUCCCUGGGCAGCCAUUUGGCUUCGUUGUUGUCAGAGGCGGAACACAGAGUUCAAGAACUCGGCGGGAGUACUUCCGGUAGCGGUGGGACCACCCUGUUGGAGCCACCUACCAGUCAUAGAUCAAGUUUUUCGUCGCAGCACAAUAAUCUCACGGGAUGCGGUGGUAGCGCGGAGGACAAACAACUUGCUCUAUGGGAAAGAAGGGCCAGAGCUCUUAGGAAGAUGCUUCUUGGAUUUGAUCAAGCGAGACCACCAGAUAUGCCAUUUUUGGUAGCGAUCGAUGUGACAGGAACAAAUUCCGUAACGGUGAGGUUCCAAGAACCAGAUUCUCACGAUUCUCCAAUCUGCACCAAGUUCAAGGUUCAAUGGAGCAGCAAAGAAGACUUUUCGGCGAUCGGUGGAGAGAGAGAAGUUCUGGACAUGAAACAAAGAGAAUGCAGGAUCGACGAUCUAAUCCAGGGACAAAAGUACUAUUUUCGAGCCGCUGCCGGCAACUUGAAAGGCUACAGCAGAUUCAGGAAUUCCACACCCGCCCACGUUACACCUAGCAGCUGGAGAGACAUCGAUGGCCGAGUGCCAAGAUUCGCUGGCCGAUUGGAACAAUUGAAUACUCUGUUCACGGAUAUAAGACGACCGGAGUACACUCAAGAGACCCCGGCGGUGCAGCGGCGUAAUCACAAGAAGAAGACAACGAUAAAGCAGCUCUUCACGGCGACCAGUAAAUUUCAGAAGAACCUCAGACGAGGAGUAUUCCUCGCUUGCUUGCUCUAUCACGAGGACAAAGUGCUAGUGACUAACGAGGAUUUUUUACCCGUGAUCGAAGUCGACGAAACUUAUCCCAGCUGUAUCUACAACGAUUUCCAUUGGCUGAUGAAGGUGGCCUGCACGUGGGACGAUGUCAAAACACUUCGCCAGGACAUGGAGAAAAGUCACAGCAGCUCAACGAAUCAUUUCAGGAUAAAAUUGUUACAGGCAGCUGCGCAAAUGCAGGCAGCACUGUGCAUACAGGACCUUGGACAACUGUAUCACAAACCUAUCCGAGAUAUCCAAGGCACUCUAGUUUUCUCCACAGUGAAUUAUAUAAAAUCCCCAAAAUUGAUCUCGGUAUUGAACAGCAGAUGGUUACCUCUUAGUAAAGUUACGAAGAAAGUUAUACCUCACGAAGACAGUAACGUAGCGGAUAUUUUAAUAUCUAGUAUACAGGAACAGAUGACUUAUCAUCAAGUUAGCAGUAUUAAAUUAUCGAAGGGUCUUUAUCUUGGCUACCUAAAGAUGCAAAGUAGCGUGGAUCUCAUUCAAGUGGUGGUACCCGCAAAAUCGCCCAAUGUUUUACCUCACUGUAAAAUUCGUGAUAAUCCUCAUGUUUCUGCAGAAGAAUGGGAUUAUCUGAAAAGGAUAACUCGUAUGUACGCGUCGGACGUUUCGGUGAAAGACUCUGAAGAGAAAGAGAACGUUACCAACGAAUUGCAAGGAACCGAGCAACAGAAAUUGUUCGUUGAACUAGUGUCUGCCACCGCGAGACGAUUGUUCAAUUACAUGGAGAUCAACCCCGAGGAUUCCUUAGUUCAUCGACUCUACGAUGCCGAAGUAAUCGACCUUACUCACGAUGUGUCGUUCCUGAUCGCUGUACCUCCUGCGGAGACAGCCUGUUGUGUACCUGGAACGAGGGAGAUCCUUCUUCAGCGCGGUGAUCUCCUAUCGUUACCCAUUCAAGUAUUCGAAAUGGUUCAUUUAAAUACGUAUCAGAAAGACGUAAUCAACAGAUACUCGAGAUUGAGUUGUAUUUUGGAGCUUGAUACCGCGCAAGCGCAACACAAUCACAGAGAAGCCUUUAGCUCUUUGGAAUUGAGCGUAGCAAAGGAUAAACUGGCGAGGUUACAGGAUCUUCAAACUCAGGUGAAUACAGUUUGGAAGGGUGCCAGGUGGCUUAUAGAUGUGAUCACCUUUGCAAGGGAUCGUGGAUCCUCCCAACAAAGCAGUACAUCGCAAACUGUCGGAAUAUCAAUGAAACACCUUCUUAGCCUCGAUAGAAACAAAAGUAACAGCAACAGUAACAGCUUGAAAAGGAGUUUGCUACAGUUACCACCACGCGAUCCAAAACUUGUUAAAUCGAGCCCAGGUCGAGGUAGUUGGCCAGGACCUAACGUGACAAAUUCGUCUUCGAAUCUACUCACGACAGAGUUCAGUAAAAGCGAACAACAAUUACCCAGCGGCCAAUACGUUCGCAAAGGCAGCAACACGUCAAACGUAUCGACUGGAUCGGAACCGCAAAAGUCCUCUAUACCCAUGAGCAGCACCAGCAAUCUGACCAAUACGACCAGCGGUGGCAGCAACAAUCAUUUGGUACCGUUGCAAAACACCAGGUUACCGCCUUCUAAAUCCGAGGACACACUGAUCCUAACGAAAUACAAACACAGCCCCAGAAAUAGGUCGGCCACAAUCACGUCCGCAUCAGCGAGCACCAGUCCUUUGCUCAGCAUCAAACCCAUGAUUUAUGGCGGCUCGCUUUUAAGCGUAUCGACCGCCAUGACAAACACCACCAGUCUACUAAGCGUCAGCAAUACCAAUUCUGACAGUUUACAUUCGCUUAGUAGCGACGAAUACUCGACGCCAAACUCGAGUGUUUGCAUAAAAAGCGGUCACGUUAAGAGCAAACCAACGAAACCUACAGCCAGUGUCGCAGCCAUGGCGACUGGGUCACUGGAGAGCCAAUUGGAGGAAGAAAAGGACGAGGCAACGAUGAUGCCGGCUCCUUUACCUGGGCACACAAGUCUAACCCGAUUGUAGUUAAACACAACUCACUCUUGGUCUUCUAGUGCAGACCGAUGUAGCAGACGUACGAGUUUACGCGGCCUACGAGACUGGCCUGGCUUCUGGAACCAGCCUAAAAUUACAUGUGACACCAAGAACCACGGCCAGAGAAGUUGUGAA